CGAAUUAGGUUUCUGUAGAGAUACCUAGGCUUUAACCUCACUUUUCUCUGGGGACUUAGAUUAUUAAGACUUGAGCACAUACAGAACGCCUAAGACUCGAAUAUGGGUUCCAACCGUUUCCAAGAACAGUGAGUCAACUGUUUUGAUUUUAAACAUACACCGGUGUUGAGUUGAUACACGAUACACGAAACAAUUACACACAGUAAGCAAAACCUGGAAGGUUUUGAUAACACGCAUAUAGGACCUUUGGAAAGCUCUUGAUGAGAAACUUAUGUCGAAAUUCAUUAAAGGUCCUCACUUAGAACCAGUGACUAACAACUCGGGCAAACACCAUUAUCUAUACUGUCUAUGCUAUUUUAAUUACCAAGCAGGUAAUCUAAGUGGAACGAAACACUAGUGCGCGAAUGCACAUGAAACUUAAACUAUACGUCAGCGGACGUCGAAGUACAUCAUACACGACUUUCGAGGCAAGGCCUUUGGAAAGCAUGAUUGGGGAUGACAACAACGACGUUAACUCCGUCAAUGAUAGAACUACGGAUCGAAAUGCGGUAAUUUGCCACGCGAUAAUGCAAAUGACACGAGUCACGCUAAGGUAUGUUAAAACAAGAGUCCCCAACAGUCAGUACUUAGUCUGAAGAGAUUUCAAUGGUUGGCGCUGCAAAAGAAGUCACACGUCUUCGCAUUCCCCCUACUUCAUUAAUGACGAAUAUGCUAUGUUCGACAUUCCAUGGUAAUGUCAUCUAACAACCGGCUAUCUCACGAUAUUUCAGGUAAAGUCCUUAAAUCCAUUUUGUUGACAUUUUUGACUUUUGCAUAUAAUGAGUAGAUUUUCACAUUUCUACUCCCCCUAACGGUCACUACAUCACGAAGAUUUCAUUUCAUGAUAGCAAAACACUCAUUUGCUUAUUUCUUGACAAAUUCGUACGCUAGACAUGCAUUGUUUGUUACGCAUGUGGUUUCACUUCGAAUGGUUGUUUUGUCAACAUCUCAUAAAUUAUUUCGCUAUACUAAAUCUUUGCAUUGUAUUAUAGACGAACCGUAUUAUUGCAAAAUGUUGACUCCUUGUUAUCGAGUCAACGGAUUUCUUCGAAAACUCAUUUUCUUUUGAGUGGCAUACAUGGUUUUUCGUUAUGGCCAUGUCGAAACUUUUUAUUGAUACAUGAAUUCAUUGUUGGUUAAUGUUUCAACCAAGUUCAAUUGAUUGAACUUGCUCGUAAUAGAUAUACAAUUUAAGAUUCCAUAUGAUGGAUUGAGGCCAUCAUAUUCGAAAUAAUCCCAACAAGCACUUCAUUUGUUUUGAACUAUAACAUGCUUGUUUGGUCUUUGACUUCAUUGAUUCGUUUCCUUGAUCACGAUCACCUUGUGGUGACGUUCUCACAAAUUUGAAGCUUGCGCUAAUCUCGUUGCUCACAUCAUGUACGGAUUUAAUUAUUUAUUUAUUUGUUUAUUGAUAUUAAAUCUGUUUUGUUGAUUUAUCAUGUUAAAUCAGUCUUAAUACAAUUGUCUGUUAAGACAAUGGUAUACAAGUUCAUGUCAUAUUUCGGUGUACCUCUUAACGGAUCUUUCAUCAUCGAGUGGACAUUUUGUGAUGCUUAUUGCUCUUUCAUUUUCGAUCGAAAAAUAUUAUUUAUUUGUUUCAUUUUCAAUCGAAAAUCCUAUGAGAUUUGUUUGAAACAAGCGUUCAAAUUUACUUCGUUGAGCCUUCAUCUGAUUUCAAAACACGGUGAUACUUGUUCGGUCACCGCUAUUAUAUAAUUAUUUCAUUCACUAUGACGCCUUGUGGUGUUGGUAUAAACUUGUAGCUUGGGCUAAUCAUGAAUCGAGCGUUUCAUGCAAAACACGGUGAUACUUGUUCGAUCACCGCUAUUAUUGAAUUAUUUCAAUCACUACGACACCUUGUGGCGUCGGUAUAAACUUGUAGCUUGUGCUAAUCUUGAUCAAUCGCUUCAUGCGAAACUACAUAUUCUUUUUGAUUUACUAAUCACUCAAAUAGUCUUAAUGCAACUAUGUAUUAAGAUGAUGAUACACUAACUUCGGUUGUAAUUUCGGUGUAUCCUUGCAAUUCAAUAACGCCUUCACUAGAUUUAUGUUCAGUUAUUGAUUCGAAGGAUGAUGAUUCAUUUUCAUGUAUCUAUUUGAAAUGAAUAUGUUGAUUCUGUGUUUCAUUUAAACAACAACCUUUGCAAGUUUCCGUUGGUAGUGAAUUCUAUUGUUUCAAAAAUUGAUUUGCAUAUUGUGAACGUUCAUUUGGAAUUCUAUCGGUCAAAAUUCCUCUUUUGUUGAAUCCUCGUAAACUUAGACACAUUGGUGAUAGUAUCACUAUGCUUCUUUCACUUGACAUCGAUUUCGGGAACAAACUCAGUUGAACCGUUGGGUUCUUAUUGAUGCAAAAUGUCUUUAAAUUCAUAUAACUCGAAUAAGUCUUGAUUCGAUUACGCGGUCAUUCACUUUGUUAUUAUUUGGACUUACCUGCGAACAACACAACUCUGAGGAGGUAACAUAGUCUAAAUUUCGAGGACGAAAUUUCUGCAACAGGGGGAGAAUGUGACAACCGGUAAUUAACGGCUGCUAAUUACGUGAUUAACAAACGUUUAAGGCGAUAAUAAAUAAUGUUUAAGGCGCGAAUUAACUUAAUUAGGCUCUUGGAACGUCUAGGAAUGCAUAUCUAACCUUGCGGUGCGCGUAUGGGGAUUUGUGAGAAAACUGUUGUGCUUUAAACGAUAACGGACUGAAACCGUACGAAAUACUGACAACACCGACAAAUACGAAGUUUACACAUAUAAUUUAAAUUUAUGGAUUCCGUUAUACGAAAUUAUCACGCUUUCUAACGGCGCAAAACGCAAGCGAGAGCGGAAAACGCAGAAAUCAGAGCACACCGUCAAUCAAUAACGAAAUGGAAGCAUCGGACUCGAGUUACGUCGCAAUAUUAUCAUAUUAUGAUAUAUUUAACUUCGUUUUCAAAUUUUACUAUUCGUAAUUAGAAACGGAUCGAAAAACGAUCAAGAAACGACGAAUGAAACAAUUUUUUUUACGCAUUAUAACGUAACCGAUAAAUUAUGCGUCAUAUAUAUCGAUAACCGAUGCAAUUUUUAGUGUUUUGACACUAAAAUUUUAUUUACGACAACUUAUGAAGCUCGGGAACGAAAAUGGGCUCUAAAAAUGAAUCGGGUCGCACGAAACGGGCUUGUGGGCCUGGGGCCCAAGCCCACUUGAAAGACCUAGUAUAUAAGCACCUUUUCUCACUCUUGGUCAAUUGGAAACCCUAAAUAAGUCAGCGCACACCACAACUCUCACCUGAUCCCCUUUUCUUCAGCAUAUACUCUAAACAUCACCACAAACACCUUAUAUCCUCCAUUAUGUCAAAAUCCUAGCCAUAUCCCUUGCAUUUCCUCUGCAGAUUGUCAACCAAAUAAAUAAAAGAAAACAAACAAACAAACUCCAUACACUAAUAUCUCCACCCUCUCGGCUCUCUCUCUGACGACGAAGACAAAAGAGGCCGGCUGACCACCACCCUAGGUGGCGGUGCUCGGCGGCUGGGGCGGCAGACGAUAGUCAGCAACACAACCCCCCCCCCCCACACACACACACACACUUGUUUACCUUCUCUAAUUGAAACGGUCGACCACCACCAUCGUCUGGUGGCGGUGUGGCGACGAGGUGAAAGGGAGAUGGAGAGAGAGACGAUGGGAUAAGAGAGAGCGAGGAGAGAGAGAAGGUGGAGGGUUGAUGACGGUGGCAGGAAGCCGGCGUCGAGUCGAUUUUCGAUGACCGGCAACGGUGGUUCUGUUGUCCGACGGGUUCCGUGACGAUGAUGAUUUAUUGAUGUUGAAGGUGUAAAGAUCUGCAGUUGAUAAUGAUGUUUUGAUCGGUCACAAGGCAGCGGGUUUCUUUUCUCAUAUUCAGCUUUGGAUUCGUGUUCCAGGUUCUGUGACGGUUCGAGUUUUGGUUCAGAUCUGGCUCAGAUUCGUGUUGGGUUCUUGGUUUGAGCAGGGUUAUAAUAUUCCAGAUCCAUGAUACGGCUCGGUUCAUACUGUCAGUUUGGUUUGGGUCUCAGUCUCGGUUCGGUCGACUCGGGUCAAACCGGGUCGACUCAGUCAACGCUGGUCAACAGAAGUCAACACAGUCAAAGCCAGUCAAGACGGAUAACAGCAACCUCGGUCCGAGUCAGCUCAGUUUGGUGCGGGUCAAUGUCGAAUGUAGUUCAGUCAACUUGGUCAGAUUAGGGAGCGGUUCGGUUGACUCGGUCAAACCGAGUCAACUCGGUCAAACUCCGGUCAAAUGAGUCGCCACGAGGCUCGGUAAAGCUUAAACAUAGCAAAUUAUUAGUAUGUUAUUUUUAGAUUUUAUUAGUCUACGCGAACCGAGCUCGACCCGACUAACUAACGGUUUUACAUUAGUGAUUUGGUUUCGUAAUUGACGUUUUGAUAUACUUGGCGUAAACUUUAUAUAUAAUGGUUGUGAAACAUUGUUGAA
Long non-coding RNA from Helianthus annuus (common sunflower), 4473 nucleotides. RefSeq lists it as uncharacterized. The transcript has 2 exons. The record is from RefSeq and is a predicted model, not a curated record. Lineage: Eukaryota; Viridiplantae; Streptophyta; Magnoliopsida; Asterales; Asteraceae.